This is a long non-coding RNA of Acanthopagrus latus (yellowfin seabream), 353 nucleotides long. RefSeq lists it as uncharacterized. The record is from RefSeq and is a predicted model, not a curated record. NCBI's taxonomy places the organism in Eukaryota, Metazoa, Chordata, Actinopteri, Spariformes, Sparidae. The transcript has 3 exons.
GAAUCUUUUAUUUUAAUGCCUGUAAAGGCUGUUUUUGUAACAAAGAUGGCACACGUGUACAUCAGAUCUUCAUGUGGUUCUGUUGAGCAGAUGAACCGGCUGUUUCUGUCCGACCAGGUUGUUUCAGGGGCAUCCUGUUUCCUGGUGUUCACCUGCUUCCUCACAUCAUCUUUGAGGUGAGUGAAUAUUCAGCGCUGGAGGAAAACGAGCCAGAGCUGUUAACAAGAGCUUGUGAAGGAGAAGGUUUUCUCUGUUGGACCCGGCUGCAGGAACGUCUCAGCAUCCUGCAGGUCCAGCUCUUCAUCGCUGGAUCUGUUCAGACCCUUCCAUGAUACCUGAGCUGCAGGAUAUCC